AGUGAACGCUGGCGGCGUGCUUAACACGUGCAAGUCGAACGAGAACGGAUUAUAGCUUGCUAUAAUUGUCAGCUAAGUGGCGCACGGGUGAGUAAUGUAUAGGUAAUAUGCCUCUUACUAAGGGAUAACAAAUGGAAACGUUUGCUAAUACCUUAUACUCCUUAUUAACAGAAGUUAAUAAGGGAAAGAUUUAUUGGUAAGAGAUUAGCCUGUAUUGUAUCAGUUAGUUGGUGGGGUAAUGGCUUACCAAGACUAAGACACAUAACUGGUUUGAGAGGAUGAUCAGUCACACUGGAACUGAGACACGGUCCAGACUCCUACGGGAGGCAGCAGUGGGGAAUAUUGCACAAUGGACGAAAGUCUGAUGCAGCAACGCCGCGUGGAGGACGACACAUUUCGGUGCGUAAACUCCUUUUAUAUGAGAAGAUAAUGACGGUAUUAUAUGAAUAAGCACCGGCUAACUCCGUGCCAGCCGCCGCCGUAA
This 484-nucleotide ribosomal RNA is filed under the name uncultured bacterium. Its description in RNAcentral is "partial 16S ribosomal RNA". It matches the Rfam family "Bacterial small subunit ribosomal RNA", at positions 29 to 523 of the family's 1533-position model. The record is from RNAcentral.